CCUACGGGAGGCAGCAGUGGGGAAUAUUGGGCAAUGGGCGAAAGCCUGACCCAGCAACGCCGCGUGAAGGAAGAAGGCUUUCGGGUUGUAAACUUCUUUUGACAGUGAAGAGCAGCAGCCGGUACCUGUCUCAUCAUCCCCGUCUCACUACUUGCCGGCAGCCGCGGUAAUACGUAGGUGGCAAGCGUUGUCCGGAUUUACUGGGUGUAACGGACGUGUAGCCGGCGAUGCAAGUCUGAAGUGAAAGGCGGGGGCUCAACCUGCGGACUGCUUUGGAAACUGGAUGGCUGGAGUGAAGGAGAGGUAAGUGGAAUUCCGAGUGUAGCGGUGAAAUGCGUAGAUAUUAGGAGGAACACCAGUGGCGAAGGCGGCUUACUGGACUGUAACUGACGUUGAGGCUCGAAAGCGUGGGGAGCAAACAGGAUUAGAUACCCCUGUAGUC
Molecule: ribosomal RNA, 442 nt
Filed under: uncultured bacterium
Lineage: Bacteria
Description: partial 16S ribosomal RNA
Rfam family: Bacterial small subunit ribosomal RNA
Source: RNAcentral